UAAUACGUAGGCAGCGAGCGUUGUUCGGAGUUACUGGGCGUAAAGCGUGCGUAGGCGGUGUCUUAAGUUUGUUGUGAAAUCUCCCGGCUUAACCGGGAGGGUGCGGCGAAUACUGAGAUGCUGGAGUGCCGGAGAGGUAAGCGGAAUUCCUGGUGUAGCGGUGAAAUGCGUAGAUAUCAGGAGGAACACCUGCGGUGUAGACGGCUUACUGGACGGUAACUGACGCUGAGGCACGAAAGCGUGGGUAGCAAACAGGAUUAGAUACCCUGGUAGUCCACGCCCUAAACGAUGCAUACUUGGUGUGGGCAGUUCAGUCUGUCCGUGCCGAAGCUAACGCGAUAAGUAUGCCGCCUGGGGAGUACGGUCGCAAGGCU
RNAcentral lists this ribosomal RNA (374 nucleotides) under uncultured bacterium. RNAcentral's name for it is "bacterial SSU rRNA". It matches the Rfam family "Bacterial small subunit ribosomal RNA", at positions 521 to 895 of the family's 1533-position model. The record is from RNAcentral.